This is a non-coding RNA of Sus scrofa (pig), 723 nucleotides long. The record is from RefSeq and is a predicted model, not a curated record. Lineage: Eukaryota; Metazoa; Chordata; Mammalia; Artiodactyla; Suidae.
CGGAAGCCCCCCUCCCCGCACAGUCUCUCUCCUGCGCAAGCGCUCUUCAACAUCACUCCUUGCUACCUCGCCCCCCACCUCCUCCAGGUUUUUAAUCCUGGGUGGGCCUGAGAAGCUUUUAACUACAUCAGAAAUGGAAGCUUUAACUUAAAUUGACCCAGACUUUUGGCACCUAAAAAUGGGACUAUUCUAAUACCUUGAAAGUGACAGAAGCGCCAAGCAACGCUCAACACACUGCGUGGAUGGAGAAGGGAGAAUUGACAAGAAUGCAUAAUUGGCAUAGAUAUCUUCAUCAACUGGCAGAAUUCCCACUCUGCUUCCCUGACCUGUGGAAUAAGAGCCAUUAUGGGAGAAAAGGCUAAGUGGAAACCACUAUAACUGUGUACUUAUGGUGACCUAUGAAAAUAGGAAAUCAGAAGCAAUACUGCAUUCUUAUAGGGAUUGCAGAUUAGUGCCACCAUCAAGGACUUGGAAGAAGAUAAAGAGGUGGUGAUUCCUACCCCGUUCCCCCAUUCAUCUUUCCUUUUUUUUUUUUGGCCUGUGUAGAAGACAGAUGGAUCUUGGAAAAUGACAGUGGAUUAUCAUAAACUUAUUCAGCCCUCCUACAUUGUUGGUGGGAAUGUAAUUGGUACAACCACUAUGAAAAACAUUAUGGAGGUACCUCAGAAGAAACUAAAUAUAGAACUACUGUAUGAUCCAGCGAUACCACUCCUGGGCAUAUAU